RNAcentral lists this ribosomal RNA (253 nucleotides) under uncultured bacterium. RNAcentral's name for it is "partial 16S ribosomal RNA". It matches the Rfam family "Bacterial small subunit ribosomal RNA", at positions 524 to 776 of the family's 1533-position model. The record is from RNAcentral.
UACAAAGGGGGCAAGCGUUAUUCGGAAUUAUUGGGCGUAAAGGGCGCGUAGGCGGCUUUGCAAGUGACGGGUGAAAGCCCUCGGCUUAACCGAGGAACUGCCUGUCAGACUGUAAGGCUUGAGUCCGGGAGAGGUGAGUGGAAUUCCCAGUGUAGCGGUGAAAUGCGUAGAUAUUGGGAGGAACACCAGUGGCGAAGGCGGCUCACUGGACCGGAACUGACGCUGAGGCGCGAAAGCGUGGGGAGCAAACAGG